UGCCGCGUGAGUGAAGAAGGCCUUCGGGUUGUAAAGCUCUUUUGUCAGGGAAGAAAAGGCUGUGGCUAAUAUCUACAGCUGCUGACGGUACCUGAAGAAUAAGCACCGGCUAACUACGUGCCAGCAGCCGCGGUAAUACGUAGGGUGCAAGCGUUAAUCGGAAUUACUGGGCGUAAAGCGUGCGCAGGCGGUUUCGUAAGUCUGUCGUGAAAUCCCCGGGCUUAACCUGGGAAUGGCGAUGGAGACUGCGAGGCUAGAGUUUGGCAGAGGGGGGUAGAAUUCCACGUGUAGCAGUGAAAUGCGUAGAGAUGUGGAGGAACACCGAUGGCGAAGGCAGCCCCCUGGGUCAAAACUGACGCUCAUGCACGAAAGCGUGGGGAGCAAACAGGAUUAGAUACCCUGGUAGUCCACGCCCUAAACGAUGUCUACUAGUUGUUGGGUCUUAAUUGACUUAGUAACGCAGCUGACGCGUGAAGUAGACCGCCUGGGGAGUACGGUCGCAAGAUUAAAACUCAAAGGAAUUGACGGGGACCCGCACAAGCGGUGGAUGAUGUGGAUUAAUUCGAUGCAACGCGAAAAACCUUACCUACCCUUGACAUGGAUGGAAUCCCGGAGAGAU
This 619-nucleotide ribosomal RNA is filed under the name Duganella sp. So1Ps_757. RNAcentral's name for it is "bacterial SSU rRNA". It matches the Rfam family "Bacterial small subunit ribosomal RNA", at positions 395 to 1007 of the family's 1533-position model. Lineage: Bacteria; Pseudomonadati; Pseudomonadota; Betaproteobacteria; Burkholderiales; Oxalobacteraceae. The record is from RNAcentral.